This is a long non-coding RNA of Actinia tenebrosa (Australian red waratah sea anemone), 1050 nucleotides long. RefSeq lists it as uncharacterized. Lineage: Eukaryota; Metazoa; Cnidaria; Anthozoa; Actiniaria; Actiniidae. The record is from RefSeq and is a predicted model, not a curated record.
UUGAACGUGAAUGGUGGAUUGCCACCCGCUCAACACAAUCUAAUGACGUUUUACCCCCGUCUCUAGACCAUAAUCCUUUUCACAUUGCUUUUGUUCUUUAAUUAUGACUAYUGUUCCUGUAUUCUCUAAGGAAUCAAAAAUUUUAAUAUGAAAGAAUUUUAAAAACUAUUAUAGUAUAGAGUCGGGGGUAAAACGUCAUCUCGCUUCAGGCUUAUUUGGCUGUUUUUUAAACAAGAAUCAUUUCUAAUUGAAGAUGUUAUUCUCACCAAGGAUAGCACUGAGUACUAUUAUUGUUGGAGUACAGUACGAAUCAGGAGUUAGUUGGUAUCAAAGAUCUAGCCAAUAGGGAUAGAGUUGUUUUCGAAGUCCCUGACGAACACUGCAGAACGCAGGAAGUGACGAAAGCAUGAAGUGUGGAGAGAAUGGCUCGCAAAUGGUGCAGGAAUCUAUUCCCUACCUCUACUGAAAGAUAUUUAUUGGAUUGCCCUAGGGCAGAGUUAAGGCUGUCCACCCUUCAGUCUCUAAGUGGGAUUAAAUUAAUUAUACCGCUGAUCACACAGUAAAAAAAACCCUGUAGCAUCAAAAUCAGCAAUUAUGAUGAAAAAGCUACAAAGAAAUGGUUGUCUGAUACCGUAGCACCAAGAAAAAUAAUAUCACCUGGACAAGAAUGAAUUUCAAUUAUAAAGAAUAAUUUCAUCAAUUUAAAUAAAACAUAAUGUAAGGAGCCAGUCUAAAUUCAUGUUAAAGUUGACUAUUUUUUUGCUGUAAUUAUUGUAAAAAGAAACAUAUGCUUUUGUUAAAAAAAUAGAGGAAAAGGUAGAAAAAAAGAAAGGAAAAUGGAUUUAUUUCUUUGUAUUUCUUGGCAGGUUUAAUGUUUUUAUACGCAUCAUUAGCCCACCCUCCCCCUAGCAAUCAUUGCUAUCUGUAUAAACAGGUACCCUAUUUAGUGGUCUCACGAUAAUUAAUAAAUAACCUUCCUAAUACUUACAAACCUUCAAAUUCCGUUAACAAUACUACAUCUUUAUGCUAUUAAAUUCUCGUAAAACUUGA